UACGAAGGGGGCUAGCGUUGCUCGGAAUCACUGGGCGUAAAGCGCACGUAGGCGGCCUUCUAAGUCGAACGUGAAAUCCCCGGGCUCAACCCGGGAACUGCGUCCGAGACUGAAAGGCUUGAAUCCGGGAGAGGGAUGUGGAAUUCCAGGUGUAGCGGUGAAAUGCGUAGAUAUCUGGAGGAAUACCGGUGGCGAAGGCGGCAUCCUGGACCGGCAUUGACGCUGAUGAGCGAAAGCUAGGGGAGCAAACGGG
This 253-nucleotide ribosomal RNA is filed under the name uncultured bacterium. RNAcentral's name for it is "partial 16S ribosomal RNA". It matches the Rfam family "Bacterial small subunit ribosomal RNA", at positions 524 to 776 of the family's 1533-position model. The record is from RNAcentral.